CCACGGACCCGGACCCC
This 17-nucleotide ribosomal RNA is filed under the name Musa acuminata (dwarf banana). RNAcentral's name for it is "partial 26S ribosomal RNA". Lineage: Eukaryota; Viridiplantae; Streptophyta; Magnoliopsida; Zingiberales; Musaceae. The record is from RNAcentral.